GGGGCCGACAGGUUUCGACUUGAAAAUCAAGAUAAUGCAAGCAUGUCGGAGGCUGACGUGGACAACCGUCAUCAAUCCAUGUCAAACAAUAAACGCCAAGACGAAUUCUUCGCGUAACUUCCAGCUCGCCGCCUGAAACACGGUGAAGGAAGAACAGGGUCGCUGAUUUGCUGUAAGGCGAUUCUGAAAAAGAAAGGACAGCAAAAACUCGGUGAACGGCAACUGUUCAUCGUUUCAUGACUGAGUUGCAAAACUGUUCCGGGGUGCCUCUUCGACUGGAACUUUCAACAUAUAUAAAUGAGAUGGCUAAACAUGUAGAAAACAUCAUCAACGUUUUCAAGGACGAGGGUUCGAUUCCCUCCGGCUCCACGA
This 372-nucleotide transfer-messenger RNA is filed under the name Bifidobacterium adolescentis. RNAcentral describes it as "Standard tmRNA". It matches the Rfam family "transfer-messenger RNA". From Rfam's summary of the family: Bacterial tmRNA, also known as 10Sa RNA or SsrA, is named for its dual tRNA and mRNA-like properties. The record is from RNAcentral. Lineage: Bacteria; Bacillati; Actinomycetota; Actinomycetes; Bifidobacteriales; Bifidobacteriaceae.